CAAGCCGCGGUAAUACGGAGGGGGCUAGCGUUGUUCGGAAUUACUGGGCGUAAAGCGCACGUAGGCGGCUUGGUAAGUUAGAGGUGAAAGCCCGGAGCUCAACUCCGGAAUUGCCUUUAAGACUGCCGAGCUAGCAGGUGAGAGAGGUAAGUGGAAUUCCGAGUGUAGAGGCGAAAUUCGUAGAUAUUCGGAAGAACACCAGUGGCGAAGGCGGCUUACUGGCUCAUACUGGACGCUGAGGUGCGAAAGCGUGGGGAGCAAACAGGAUUAGAUACCCCCGUAGUCCCUGUCUCUUAUACAC
This 301-nucleotide ribosomal RNA is filed under the name uncultured bacterium. Its description in RNAcentral is "partial 16S ribosomal RNA". It matches the Rfam family "Bacterial small subunit ribosomal RNA", at positions 512 to 809 of the family's 1533-position model. The record is from RNAcentral.